This 301-nucleotide ribosomal RNA is filed under the name uncultured bacterium. Its description in RNAcentral is "partial 16S ribosomal RNA". It matches the Rfam family "Bacterial small subunit ribosomal RNA", at positions 509 to 809 of the family's 1533-position model. The record is from RNAcentral.
CAGUCGCCGCGGUAAUACGAAGGGUGCAAGCGUUACUCGGAAUUACUGGCGUAAAGCGUGCGUAGGUGGCUGUUUAAGUCUGUUGUGAAAGCCCUGGGCUCAACCUGGGAAUUGCAGUGGAUACUGGGCGACUAGAGUGUGGUAGAGGGUAGUGGAAUUCCCGGUGUAGCAGUGAAAUGCGUAGAGAUCGGGAGGAACAUCCAUGGCGAAGGCAGCUACCUGACCAACACUGACACUGAGGCACGAAAGCGUGGGGAGCAAACAGGAUUAGAUACCCCCGUAGUCCCUGUCUCUUAUACAC